RNAcentral lists this ribosomal RNA (505 nucleotides) under fungal endophyte. RNAcentral describes it as "eukaryotic LSU rRNA". The stretch from base 159 to 312 matches the Rfam family "5.8S ribosomal RNA". Lineage: Eukaryota; Fungi. The record is from RNAcentral.
CUGCGGAAGGAUCAUUACCGAGUGCGGGCCCCUCGGGGCCCAACCUCCCACCCGAUGUUGCCCGAACCUAUGUUGCCUCGGCGGGCCCCGCGCCCGCCGACGGCCCCCCUGAACGCUGUCUGAAGUUGCAGUCUGAGACCUAUAACGAAAUUAGUUAAAACUUUCAACAACGGAUCUCUUGGUUCCGGCAUCGAUGAAGAACGCAGNGAAAUGCGAUAACUAAUGUGAAUUGCAGAAUUCAGUGAAUCAUCGAGUCUUUGAACGCACAUUGCGCCCUCUGGUAUUCCGGAGGGCAUGCCUGUCCGAGCGUCAUUGCUGCCCUCAAGCCCGGCUUGUGUGUUGGGCCCCGUCCCCCUCCGCCGGGGGGACGGGCCCGAAAGGCAUGCGGCGGCAUCCGCGUCCGGUCCUCGAGCGUAUGGGGCUUCGUCACCCGCUCUAGUAGGCCCGGCCGGCGCCAGCCGACCCCCAACCUUUAAUUAUCUCAGGUUGACCUCGGAUCAGGUAG